UGGGGAAUAUUGGACAAUGGGCGCAAGCCUGAUCCAGCCAUGCCGCGUGAGUGAUGAAGGCCCUAGGGUUGUAAAGCUCUUUCACCGGUGAAGAUAAUGACGGUAACCGGAGAAGAAGCCCCGGCUAACUUCGUGCCAGCAGCCGCGGUAAUACGAAGGGGGCUAGCGUUGUUCGGAUUUACUGGGCGUAAAGCGCACGUAGGCGGACUAUUAAGUCAGGGGUGAAAUCCCGGGGCUCAACCCCGGAACUGCCUUGGAUACUGGUAGUCUUGAGUUCGAGAGAGGUGAGUGGAAUUCCGAGUGUAGAGGUGAAAUUCGUAGAUAUUCGGGGGAACACCAGUGGCGAAGGCGGCUCACUGGCUCGAUACUGACGCUGAGGUGCGAAAGCGUGGGGAGCAAACAGG
This 404-nucleotide ribosomal RNA is filed under the name Actinomycetes bacterium. RNAcentral describes it as "Actinobacteria bacterium partial 16S ribosomal RNA". It matches the Rfam family "Bacterial small subunit ribosomal RNA", at positions 355 to 776 of the family's 1533-position model. The record is from RNAcentral. Lineage: Bacteria; Bacillati; Actinomycetota; Actinomycetes.